Molecule: ribosomal RNA, 902 nt
Filed under: Halomonhystera disjuncta
Lineage: Eukaryota; Metazoa; Nematoda; Chromadorea; Monhysterida; Monhysteridae
Description: SSU rRNA
Rfam family: Eukaryotic small subunit ribosomal RNA
Source: RNAcentral
CCGCGAAUAGCUCAUUACAAUAGCCGUUGUUUCUUGGAUCCUCAAUUUACUUGGAUACCUGUGGUAAUUCUAGAGCUAAUACAUGCGACUAAGGGCCGAACUCACGUGACGCUUGCAUUUAUUAGAUCAAGACUAACCGGCUUCGGCCGUUAACUUGGUGACUCUGAAUAACUCAGCUGAUCGCACGGUCUAGUGCCGGCGACAUAUCUUUCAAGUGUCUACCUUAUCAACUGUCGAUGGUAGUUUAUGUGACUACCAUGGUUGUAACGGGUAACGGAGAAUCAGGGUUUGACUCCGGAGAGGGAGCCUGAGAAACGGCUACCACUUCUAAGGAAGGCAGCAGGCGCGCAAAUUACACAAUCUCAGCACGAGGAUGUAGUGACGAAACAUACCGAGGCGAUGCCCUUUCGGGUGUCGUCAUUGGAAUGAGUCGAAUCUAAAAAAUUCGGCAAGGAUCUAGUGGAGGGCAAGUCUGGUGCCAGCAGCCGCGGUAAUUCCAGCUCCGCAAGUGUAUAUCUAUGCUGUUGCGGUUAAAAAGCUCGUAGUUUGAUUCGCGUACUUAGCACGCAGUGUGGCCUUUCGGCUACUACUGUGAUGCGGUACAUUAUCGUCAGUUUGUCGUUGAUGCUCUUCAUUGGGUGUCAGCGGCGGCUGUCAAGUUUACUUUGAACAAAUUAAAGUGCUCAAUACAGGCGUUUCGCUUGUAUAGUUCUGCAUGGAAUAAUAGAAUAGGACUUACGUUCUAUUGUGUUGGUUUUCAGAACGAAAGUAAUGAUUAAGAGGGACAGACGGGGUCAUUCGUACUGCCACGUUAGAGGUGAAAUUCUUGGAUCGUGGCAAGACGAACUACUGCGAAAGCAUUUGACAAGAAUGUUUUCAUUAAUCAAGAACGAAAGUAUGGU